This is a long non-coding RNA of Fukomys damarensis (Damara mole-rat), 1100 nucleotides long. RefSeq lists it as uncharacterized. Lineage: Eukaryota; Metazoa; Chordata; Mammalia; Rodentia; Bathyergidae. The transcript is spliced from 3 exons. The record is from RefSeq and is a predicted model, not a curated record.
CUCACAGAACGGCAUCCUGAAUUCUGAGCCUGGGUGCGACCCCUCGGGCACCGGCUGCAUGGCCGCCUGUCGCUCCCCCUGUCUGCUCGUCCCCACCACAGCCUAGUCUGGGCCCUGCUUUGAGGACUCGGGUGACCCGAGACCUGCUCCAGGCAUGACAACAGAGCUGCUGGAGAAGCCAGCCACAGGAGGGGCGGGCGGCCUCACCCUGCUCCCACACUUCAAUGCGCACAGUGUCCAGACCGCAGGGAGGCAUCCAGGGAGGAUGCUCCGGGCCGUGGCGGGGGCUCAUUGCGGGCUGAGUACUCAGGGAUAAAGCUCUCACUUCUGUGCCAAAAGCUGCUGGGACUCGGAUCUGUCAGCACAGCGCUCCAGAAAUUCUGGGAGCCCCACACCUUCCUAAGUCUGAGCAGCGGCAUGGCUGCCCGACAUUACUCAGCCUCCUCUGCAAGCUCAUGUCCACAGCAUCUGCUGAAAGGGAGAAGGCCGCUACGAGACCCAGAGUGUGCGGCUUGCCCCAAAUCAAGCGCGGCUCCUUCGACUCAGGCCUCUCCCUGCACCCCAGUCACAGGAGUUGACAGGCACUGCCUCCAAGUCACUGCUGGCCACCCUGCACGGCUGUCAGGGUCACUCUGGGCCACAGCCUCCAAUGGCUACCUUGUGCUCGCUGUCCCUGCCGGGCUCCCCAUCUCCGUGGCCCAGAGCUGGUGCCUCUGCUGGACUGGGCCGCGUCUGAGCUCCGUCACUAGGGGCACGUUUCUCCAGAGCACAGCAUCUCCAUCCCUCACCUGGCGUAUGGCACUUCACAUGAAAAUCUGGUCUUGGCUUCCUGAUGCCACUGUGACAAAUUCCACAACACUGUGACUUUGAAGGACAGAGUCCCACGAGGAAUCAUGAAACGACUGAGCUUCAAUCACAACCCCCAUGCUCACAAAGCUCCUGCUGGUCCACAGCCCAGGAGUGGUUGGAGUGACACCAACCACUGCAGACCAGUGAACCGACCCAGAGUGAACGGCUUGCUCAAGAAACUCCAAGAAUAACUGUCCGACUAACGGGGUGUGGGCUGCAUACUUCUUGGUUCGGUGUACUUGUACAUAUGC